CAGCAGCCACGGGAAUACGGAGGGUGCAAGCGUUAAUCGGAAUUACUGGGCGUAAAGCGCACGCAGGCGGUCUGACAAGUCAGAUGUGAAAUCCCCGGGCUUAACCUGGGAACUGCAUUUGAAACUGUCAGGCUGGAGUCUUGUAGAGGGGGGUAGAAUUCCAGGUGUAGCGGUGAAAUGCGUAGAGAUCUGGAGGAAUACCGGUGGCGAAGGCGGCCCCCUGGACAAAGACUGACGCUCAGGUGCGAAAGCGUGGGGAGCAAACAGGAUUAGAUACCCCUGUAGUCCCUGUCUCUUAUAC
RNAcentral lists this ribosomal RNA (301 nucleotides) under uncultured bacterium. RNAcentral's name for it is "partial 16S ribosomal RNA". It matches the Rfam family "Bacterial small subunit ribosomal RNA", at positions 509 to 807 of the family's 1533-position model. The record is from RNAcentral.